AAAGAAUUACAACUUAAAAAAUAAGUAUACAAAGUCAUAAGGUUUAGAAAUACAUUUCCAUAUUUUAAUCAGAGAACAAUAUUGUCUUAGAAAGAAAACAUUGAUUAUGCUGAAAAAUUUACUGGAGAGCUUGAACAAGAGGAAAAAUCCAUUUUAAGUUAGUGGAAAACUGUUGAUUUGUAUGUAAAAUAAAAGACAAAGACACGUUUAAAUAAAGACAAUCUAGCUAAUGAAACAGAUGCAGUGUUACAGAUAUGACAAACAUCUAGCUAGAAGAUGGAAUCCUGCGUUCUUAAAAUAAAAAAAGCUAGUUCCAGAAGUAAGCUACCAAUAAUAAACUAGAGAAUGUAUUACAAGAAAGAACAACGCUAAUACUCAACAUAGCUCAAUUGCUUCAGAUAGAAAAAGAGGAGGAAAGGGUACAACACAAGCGUGCCAGAGAAAAUGAAAGGGCAGAAGAGAGACACAAAAUUCAUUGAUUUAUUAAAUUUACAAAUUAAAUUAUACAAAGGACAAUUAAAUAAAAAAUUAAAAAAUGA
Molecule: long non-coding RNA, 539 nt
Filed under: Diabrotica virgifera virgifera (western corn rootworm)
Lineage: Eukaryota; Metazoa; Arthropoda; Insecta; Coleoptera; Chrysomelidae
Description: uncharacterized LOC126888378
Source: RNAcentral